GCAGGACCUCGCAGUGACGAGAUGAAACCCCUUUGUGCUUGAAUAGUGAGGGUGGUCUGGAGGUGCCGUCGUCGAGGGUGGUCUGGGAGCAGGUGAGGACGGAGUAGCUGGCCAUGAAGCCAAGGAUUCGGUCCAGCAUCAUGGAGCAUUUGGGUUUUGGGUGGGCAAGUGAAGGCCGAUUUCCGAAGGAGAGACCUCUGCCCCAGCACAGGCCUCGGCGAUGAACUCCGGAAGGUCGAGGUCGAUGGCGGAUUUCAGCACCAUGGGCAGCAACGAGAAGGUGGCCUAUUGCAUCGCAUACAAACAUGCUUCCUACCCCUGUUGCUUUUCCAGGCUGGGCGGCCUCGUCUCCACCUACUCCUCUACUGACCCCAUGAUGUUGCUGUGCUGGCUUUUUUGCUACUUGACCAAUUGGAAAUCGAAAAAGUGUUACCCAUAUAACCUGGACUUUGAUUCUGGGGCUCUGGCACAGCUGCAACAUUUCUCCAUCAAUAACCUGGGGGAUUCCUUCAUUGAGAGCAACUACGGGGUCCAUUCCAGACAAUUUGAGGUUGGUGUUCUAGAUUGGUUUGCCGUCUGUGGGAACUAGAGGAAAGCGAAUACUGGGGAUAUACAUUACAAAUUGUGGGAAAUCGAAAAACUGAAAGCACACCUCCACAUGUUCUACAGUAGAAUGGCUUCUUAUUUUUCUAAGAUUACCACUAUAUUUCUUUCCCUUCCUCUCUGCUGUGAAUCCUGUGUAGUUCUUAUAGGUUAAAGAAAAGACAUCAUUUGACCAUGAUAUAGGUGCAGAGUAUGAUUUCCCAUUUCGUGGUGAUUUGGUCGGUGGAGUUUAUAUGGUUUGGCAUGUAUUUGUCGUUGUUAGUCCUAAUGCCCCUUUUUGA
Molecule: long non-coding RNA, 884 nt
Organism: Macadamia integrifolia
Lineage: Eukaryota; Viridiplantae; Streptophyta; Magnoliopsida; Proteales; Proteaceae
Exons: 2
Source: RefSeq, a predicted model, not a curated record